UACGGGUGACAUCGGAGUCUUUGAACGCAAGUUGCGCCCGAUGCCAUUAGGUUGAGGGCACGUCUGCCUGGGUGUCACAUAUCGAAGCCUCCUUGACUAUUGUGCAGGGUGGAUGUUGGCCUCCCGUGAGCUGUUUCGUCUCAUGGUUGGUUGAAAAUUGAGACCUUGGUAGGGUGUGCCAUGAUAGAUGGUGGUUGUGUGACCCACGAGACCAAUCAUGCGCUUCUUCUCUAUUGAAUUCGGCCUCUUUUACCCAUAUGCGUUUCUAAACGCUCGUGAUGAGACCUCAGGUCAGGCGGGACUACCCGCUGAAUUUAAGCAUAUCAAUAAGCGGAGGAAAAGAAACUAACAAGGAUUCCCUUAGUAACGGCGAGCGAACCGGGAUAAGCCCACCAUGAGAAUCGGUCGCCCUCGGCGUUCGAAUUGUAGUUGAAAAAAAACCGUCAAACCUU
This 452-nucleotide ribosomal RNA is filed under the name Vicia villosa subsp. villosa. RNAcentral's name for it is "eukaryotic LSU rRNA". The stretch from base 282 to 452 matches the Rfam family "Eukaryotic large subunit ribosomal RNA", at positions 1 to 171 of the family's 3401-position model. The record is from RNAcentral. Lineage: Eukaryota; Viridiplantae; Streptophyta; Magnoliopsida; Fabales; Fabaceae.